RNAcentral lists this ribosomal RNA (253 nucleotides) under uncultured bacterium. RNAcentral describes it as "partial 16S ribosomal RNA". It matches the Rfam family "Bacterial small subunit ribosomal RNA", at positions 524 to 776 of the family's 1533-position model. The record is from RNAcentral.
UACGUAGGGCGCGAGCGUUAAUCGGAAUUACUGGGCGUAAAGCGUGCGCAGGCGGUUUUGUAAGCCAGAUGUGAAAUCCCCGGGCUUAACCUGGGAAUGGCAUUUGGGACUGCAAGGCUUGAGUUUGGCAGAGGAGACUGGAAUUCCUGGUGUAGCAGUGAAAUGCGUAGAUAUCAGGAGGAAUACCGAUGGCGAAGGCAGGUCUCUGGGCUAGAACUGACGCUCAUGCACGAAAGCGUGGGGAGCAAACAGG